AGUCCUGUAGGCGAAUAGUUUAAGCCGUCAGCCUACGGCAGUCGCUACAACGGAGGGAACCUCCGCAACGUGCUGCCUCCUCAAGCUGAAGAUUGCGAGUGCGAAUCUCGUCGGGACUCCCA
This 122-nucleotide transfer RNA is filed under the name Nostocales cyanobacterium LEGE 12452. Its description in RNAcentral is "tRNA-OTHER". It matches the Rfam family "tRNA". From Rfam's summary of the family: Transfer RNA (tRNA) molecules are approximately 80 nucleotides in length. Their secondary structure includes four short double-helical elements and three loops (D, anti-codon, and T loops). The record is from RNAcentral. Lineage: Bacteria; Bacillati; Cyanobacteriota; Cyanophyceae; Nostocales.